This 3838-nucleotide long non-coding RNA is filed under the name Canis lupus familiaris (dog). Its description in RNAcentral is "lncRNA (ENSCAFG00040021896.1)". The record is from RNAcentral. Lineage: Eukaryota; Metazoa; Chordata; Mammalia; Carnivora; Canidae.
AUGGGAAAACGGGGGUGUGAGUCCAGGCGUCUCCGCCCGGAGCUCAGGGCUAGGCUGUUCCCCUCACAGCCCCAGGCUGCUCCGAGCUCCCUCCGAGCUCUGUGUCUGCAGCAGAGCCCAGGUCAGGCAGGCUUCUGUCUCCCUGGAGCCCGCAGAUGGACGGGGGGUGAGGAGAUGCCCGGGGGAGGCCAGCAGGACCCAGCUGCAGCGGCCGCAGGGGACCUGGACGCGUCUCGUCUGCCCGGGCCCCUGCUCCCUGGACAAGGGAACGGGGCCGGAGAGGGGGCGCCCGGGGGGCUCCGGGCACGUCUCGCCGGGCAGUGUCUAGCUGCUGGGCCCAGGCUGCGGGGCUGUCCGGCCGCGGCGGGGCCAGGAGCGAGCUGUCUCCGGCCAGCGCUGAGCUUUACGGGGCAUUAACGAGCCAUUUAAAAAGCGCUGACAACACACUUUGUGGCUCCUAUUUAAGAUGUACUAAAAAAUAAGCACCUUUUCAGGGAGGAAGCUGCAGGAUGUCGGGUUAAAAUAUGUCCGUGGUGUCACCUACGCACAUGUCACCCUGCAGGUGCCUGUGGGGGAGCAUCCAGCACUCAGCUUCACCCCUCGGUGGGUUUGCAGGGUGGCGGUUUCUUGAUGAGCGGGUUCAUUUGUCAGCAACUCCAGCUCUGCAGGGGGAAGGGGAGGGAGGUCUGAAGCGUUGGGGGUGUUAGGUGGAGUGGGGGUGGGAGGGGAGGGCAGACGAAAUUACCUGCUCCAGGCAGCCCACUUUGCAGAUGGAAACGCUGAGGCCCAGAGCAGAGAAGGAAAGGUCCGAGGUCACCCGCCCUGAGAGUUGCCCCCAGCAGCUCUCAGCACCCCCAGACCCGGGGAGGGGGGCACCGCACCCAGAGAGCAUCCUCCAAUAUCUCCCUCCUCAUUGCAUGUCGAAGAGACAUUCUCAGGACGUGGGGCGGGCCUGGGCUCUGCGUGGGGUCUCUGUGACCUCCGGUGCACCCUGCCUCUCUCUGGGGCCGUAUCUGUAAAAUGGGUAGCGCGGUGAUGCCCAGAUGGGACGAGGGACGAGGGGCGUGGGGAGCUUCCCAGCUUGGCGGGGCCCCCUCACGGGGCUUAGGACAGUCUCCUGGAGAGCUCCCUGGAGUGGGGGGGGGGCUCCUGCUCCUCCCUCCUCCCUCCUCCUCCUCCCUGCUCUUCCUUCUUCUUUUCCACGAGUAUUUCUUAAGUGCUUGUCACGAGCCAGGCACUGUGACGGGCGCCGGGGUACAGCAGCGACCGGACAGUGUCAUCAAACACACGCACACACACAAGGACGGAGUCUCCAGCCACUUCACGGAGCUAGUAGUUGUGCGGACGAGGCCAAAGCUGGGUGUAAAACCACAGCAAUGUGGUAAGGCUGCCACGUACCUCCUCCCAUGGGGCGGACGUGCGGUGCCAUGAGAGGGUUUAAGAGGGGUUGACCGGGCCGGGGAGGUUGAGGAGGGCUUCCCUGAGGAGGUGAUGCCCGAGCCAAGUGCUGUGGGAUGAGUGGAGAAGCCAAGAGGGGCAGGGGGCAGCAGGCAGAGGGAGUAGCAUGUGCAAAGGCCCUGUGGUGGAAGCUCAAGAGGACGAGGAAGGGCCAGUGUGGCUGCUGUGGGGCGGGCUCUGGGCAGCGACCGACGGGGCUGGGCCAGGCCUCCUUGAGGCCCGGGAUGGGGACAGCGAUACACUUAGGAUUGGGGCGUGGACGGAUUUCUGGUUGUUACGUAGAGGAGUGGCCUGAACAUGAGUCGAGGGUGGAGUGGGGAGGUGGAUGGGGGUGAAUGUGUGCAUCUGGGCGUGGACCAGGGUGGUGGCCUCAGGGUGCCCGCUGUCACCCAGUACUCCCCGGAGGCAGGCUGACCCAGUGAAGUCCCCGUGGGUGUUUGGGAGGGAGGUCCGGGGCCCUGGGACUGGCUGUUCAGCAGGUGGGCGGUGGUCUGAGGGCGCCCCUUCCUCCGCUGGGGGCCGGGGGGCCGUGCUGAGGCCAGGCACACGAGGCGCUGAAAUGCAGCUCCAGAGGCCGCGGGGGUGUGCCCUGGGUUCCCGGACCCGGGGAGCACCGGGUGCCCCAGAGGGGAGGGGAGCGCGAAGGAACGAGUGGCUUGCCCUCCCUAGUUCUGACUGAUGGUGACAGCUUGCAUCUUUAGUCUGAGAAGUAUCUAUGGGAUAAGGACCGCUUUCCUCAAUCGGGAUAAUUAUGUUAAUUAAAAUGCUUUCUUUAUAGCGGUUCUGAUUAAUAAAAACAGUUCCACUGCUCUCUUUAAACACUCUAACCUUCUGUUGCACGGGGAAGGAGGUCCUUUCUCAGCAAUUUACGGCUCUUCACGCAGAUUCCAGGAGGCGACCGCCGCUGGGGUGGCCCGGUGGCGGGCACUUGGCUCACACACGUGUGGGGACGGAUGCACACGCAGUGGCCGUCGCGGGCGGGGAUGGCGCGGAGUCUGCUGGAGAGUAAAAAGACCACUAAUUUCUCUAAUUGCUGUUUAUUUGCCUCGGAAAAGCACGGGGAUAAUUAAUGAGCUCCCGGUUAAGAAAAAAUCACGUGUGGGGUAAAGAGGGUGCCGGGGCUGGAAGUGGUUCUGGAGUUGAAGGGUGAUGGUGGGGGAGCUCGGGGGGGGGGCUGGGAGGAAGCAGAGGGGUGCCCUGGUGGUGGAUGCUCUGGGCUGGGGGGUCGGGGAGGGGGUGCUGGAGGCAGGGAGGGCAGGUGGGAAGGGGGAUGACGGGGUGUCUCCUGCCCCCGGAGAAGGUGGACACUGGGUUCCAGGGCCGGCCUCCUCUGACUCCCAGUCCCCCAGCUCUGACCCUUGAUGCCGCCGCUCCACCCACGUCAGAGGGCCCGAACGGGGGCCCGGAGGUGGAUCUGGCCCACAGACGUGUGUGAGCGCGAGCUCGGGGGAGAGCACGUGCGUGUGUGCAGGUGUGAGCACAGGUGCGGGUCUCGGUACGUGUAUGUGGCCCAGCGUGUCCGUGUGAGAGCGUGAGAGGCGCCCGUGUGCCUGUGGGCUCAGUGUGCACGUGUGCGUGAGAAUAUGAGCGUACAUGUACGAUAGGAGCGUCCGGGUGCGUGCGUGUGUCCAUUCGCGACAGGAUUCGUAGUCCUUAGAUUCCGGAAAGGUUGGGAGGUGUGCCACGAAAACCAGGCGCCGUGCACCUCUUGGAAAGUCAGAAGCCCGGACCCCGCGCCCCGCGAGGAGCUCCAGGUGGACACGGGCAGCGGCAGCUCCCGCUGGUCUCGCCUUCACACCCCCUCCCCGUUUAUAUUACAGUCUGACUCGGGAUGGGGGGGCAGAGGGAGUAGCAUGUGCAAAGGCCCUGUGGUGAGUUUUCAACCCCUGGUCUCGGGGAGGCACCCCGUGACUCCGUCAGGGCUGGCAGGAUGGUCUUGUAUGGAGAAGGGGGUUUAGGCCCCAGAGAAGGCGGGGGAUGUCUCAGGUGACCGCUGUCCCCUUCUCCUGAAAGGACUGAGCACACGUGGGGUCACGGAGGCCCCGAGUCGGGGUGCCCUAGGUGCUGGAAGGAGACUGUGGGGUUCCCCAGUAUGUUCGCAGCCCCGAGGGGCUCAGACAAGGCGGCGGGGGUGGGGGGCGACUCUCCCAACAAGGCAGAGAGGAGGGGCCGUAGGAGACGCUGCAGCAACCCGUCCCUGUACCCGAAGCCCCGGCUCUCUGCUGGACGCCCGUCCCCAGGUCUUUGUCGCUGCCACCCUCUUGGCCAUGCUAAGGCCCCGGGGCUGAAACUGGAGGGUCCCCACCACCCACCAGAGGAAGCCACGCUGCUGGCUCCCUAGACCCCUGGCCCUUCCUCAUGGGAACGCCGCGGACCAGCC